RNAcentral lists this ribosomal RNA (397 nucleotides) under uncultured bacterium. Its description in RNAcentral is "partial 16S ribosomal RNA". It matches the Rfam family "Bacterial small subunit ribosomal RNA", at positions 523 to 918 of the family's 1533-position model. The record is from RNAcentral.
AUACGUAGGGGGCGAGCGUUGUCCGGAAUGAUUGGGCGUAAAGGGCGCGUAGGCGGCGCGGUAAGUCUGGAGUGAAAGUCCUGCUUUCAAGGUGGGAAUUGCUUUGGAUACUGCCGCGCUUGAGUGCAGGAGAGGUUAUCGGAAUUCCCGGUGUAGCGGUGAAAUGCGUAGAGAUCGGGAGGAACACCAGUGGCGAAGGCGGGUAACUGGACUGCAACUGACGCUGAGGCGCGAAAGUGUGGGGAGCAAACAGGAUUAGAUACCCUGGUAGUCCACACCGUAAACGAUGAAUGCUAGGUGUAAGAGGUAUCGACCCCUUUUGUGCCGGAGUUAACACAAUAAGCAUUCCGCCUGGGGAGUACGGCCGCAAGGUUGAAACUCAAAGGAAUUGACGGGG